GGCGGUGCCUCAGACCCACCUAGAGGAGCCUGUUCUAGAACCGAUAACCCCCGUUCAACCUCACCACCUCUUGUUUACCCGCCUAUAUACCACCGUCGUCAGCUUACCCUGUGAAGGCCCUAUAGUAAGCAAAAUGGGCAAAACCCAA
This 148-nucleotide ribosomal RNA is filed under the name Oncorhynchus keta (chum salmon). RNAcentral describes it as "partial 12S ribosomal RNA". The record is from RNAcentral. Lineage: Eukaryota; Metazoa; Chordata; Actinopteri; Salmoniformes; Salmonidae.